CAGCCGCCGCGGUAAUACGUAGGUGGCAAGCGUUAUCCGGAAUUAUUGGGCGUAAAGCGCGCGUAGGCGGUUUUUUAAGUCUGAUGUGAAAGCCCACGGCUCAACCGUGGAGGGUCAUUGGAAACUGGAAAACUUGAGUGCAGAAGAGGAAAGUGGAAUUCCAUGUGUAGCGGUGAAAUGCGUAGAGAUUAGGAGGAACACCAGUGGCGAAGGCGGCUUUUUGGCCUGUAACUGACACUGAGGCGCGAAAGCGUGGGGAGCAAACAGGAUUAGAUACCCCAGUAGUCCCUGUCUCUUAUAC
RNAcentral lists this ribosomal RNA (301 nucleotides) under uncultured bacterium. Its description in RNAcentral is "partial 16S ribosomal RNA". It matches the Rfam family "Bacterial small subunit ribosomal RNA", at positions 509 to 807 of the family's 1533-position model. The record is from RNAcentral.